GCCAGACGCACCACUGGACACAGCGCCUCUCUCCAGGGGCUUUAGAGUUGGUCGAUGGACACGUGUCCGUUCUGUGCCGCCAGGGCUUUGUGCGAGGCGUAAGGGCAAAGCCCGAGGGAGGGAGUGCUGGACAGCCUGGGUUCUUACAGAGUUGCGUGGACCCUGCGGUGCUGGAGGUGGGGGGCGGGGUAGGAUUGCUCGGGGAAGGCUCCCUGGAGGAACCGGCACCUGCGCUCAGUUUGGGAAGGUGGGUCAAAAAAGGUUUCCACAAGAGGACGCAUAUCGAGCCCAGAGAGUGCAUGCAAAGGGACUGAUGGCAUUUCCACACCCCAGAGCCGCGGGAAUCACCGACCACACUGGCAUAUCACUCAGCGUAUGGAAAGCUGCCGAAAAGCUUAAAGGCGGAAAAGGGCAGAUUUUAGAAGGAGGCUGCAGAGAAACCCUCCAGGAGAACUGAAUAAGAGAGAGGAAUAGGGGAAAUAAACUGACUGAUCAGACCAGACAGUUUGAGUAAUGUAAUCCAGGAGUGAAAAGGUGAGACAAAACUGGGGCAGUCGUGAGACUAGAGAUUGCCAGAAGGGUUUAGAGGUGAAACCUAUUUGGGAGGUAAAAUUGGAAGAUUGAUUGGAGAUUGGAGGUUGAUCAAAAGGGUGGAGUUAGCCGAGGCGGUGGCACGCGGCGGUAAUUCCAGCAACUAGGGAGGCUGAGGCAGGAGGAUCACAAGCCUCAGCAAUUUAGCGAGGCCCUAAGGAACUUAGCUGGACUCUAUUCCAAAAAUAAAAACUAUAACUCCCCAGGGAGGGGGAAGAGGAGGAAGAAGAAGAAAGAAUGGAGUUAUUUAUUGAAUGAUAGGCCACAUCUUGUAAGAAUGGAACCAAUUUGUCAUCAGGAAAGAUAAAAUACUGCAUCCAUACCUUAACCACAUGUGGAAGUGUGAAGGGGACAGGAGGCAAAUUCCAAAUGAAUCAAAGAUUAUAAUAUGAAACAUGAAAUCUUUUAUAACAGUGUCAAAAAAUAAAAGAAAGGAGAAAGUUCAAAUUAUGAUCCAGGAGACAUGGAAGAUGGGUACAUUUUACUGUAUCGAUGUCAAAAACUUUUGCCUAGAAAAUCAAAAGACAAAUCAUGAAGAAAAUACAUUACAGGGGGAAAAUAAGUUAAUUUCACGAAUAGGUGAAGAGUGCCUAGAUUUCACAAAUAAAAAGAUCACCAACCAUGGAGGGAAAUGAGCUCACAGAAAAUAAUGCAAAUGGCUGCUAAAAAUAUGAAAUAUAGCUGGGG
Molecule: long non-coding RNA, 1278 nt
Filed under: Marmota monax (woodchuck)
Lineage: Eukaryota; Metazoa; Chordata; Mammalia; Rodentia; Sciuridae
Source: RNAcentral